AGAGUUUGAUCAUGGCUCAGGAUGAACGCUAGCUACAGGCUUAACACAUGCAAGUCGAGGGGCAGCAUGUUGGUUGCUUGCAACCAAUGAUGGCGACCGGCGCACGGGUGAGUAACGCGUAUCCAACCUACCCCUGUCCAUCGGAUAACCCGUCGAAAGGCGGCCUAACACGAUAUGCGGCUCUCAGCAGGCAUCUAACGAGAACGAAAUGUGAAGGAGAAGGAUGGGGAUGCGUCUGAUUAGCUUGUUGGCGGGGUAACGCCACAAGGCGACGAUCAGUAGGGGUUCUGAGAGGAAGGUCCCCCANAUUGGAACUGAGACACGGUCCAAACUCCUACGGGAGGCA
RNAcentral lists this ribosomal RNA (346 nucleotides) under uncultured bacterium. RNAcentral describes it as "bacterial SSU rRNA". It matches the Rfam family "Bacterial small subunit ribosomal RNA", at positions 8 to 350 of the family's 1533-position model. The record is from RNAcentral.